This is a non-coding RNA of Trichonephila clavipes, 72 nucleotides long. Lineage: Eukaryota; Metazoa; Arthropoda; Arachnida; Araneae; Nephilidae. The record is from the annotation of a GenBank genome assembly.
ACGUUCAGCGUAUUAGACAGCUCGUUGGACUUCUAAUCCAAAGUUCGUGGGUUCGAAUCCUACCUGAAUGGG